RNAcentral lists this ribosomal RNA (648 nucleotides) under Beroe ovata. RNAcentral describes it as "eukaryotic LSU rRNA". It matches the Rfam family "Eukaryotic large subunit ribosomal RNA", at positions 342 to 821 of the family's 3401-position model. The record is from RNAcentral. Lineage: Eukaryota; Metazoa; Ctenophora; Nuda; Beroida; Beroidae.
GAACAAGUACCGUGAGGGAAAGAUGAAAAGCACUUUGAAAAGAGAGUUAAACAGUACGUGAAACCGUUAAAAGGGAAGCGAAUGGAGCCAGCAAGGCACCCGGUUUGAUUCAGCCGGUGGUCGUAGGCCCCCAACUGUGGUGAUCUUUUGACUCUGCGGUUGACGGCGCUUGCGAUUGCCGUGUGCACUUAUUCCGGGUGCGUGCCAACUUGGCUUGAUGACGAUUGACACGGACAGAUGGGAAGGUAACUUCCUUCGGGGAGCGUUAUAGCCCUUUGUCCCAGAUCGUCGUCGAGUGAGGUGUCGCGGUACGUGCUCUUUUGGGCUUGGGCCUCGUGGGCGGUCGGUCGCGCCUUCUGUUGACUGCACGCAGUGAGCGGAGGGACGACGGCAGGCUACUCGUGUGUGUCCCGUAUACGUGCCUAGGAAGUUGGCGUGCAAAUGGCUUCAUCCGACCCGUCUUGAAACACGGACCAAGGAGUCUGACGUGUGCGCGAGUCUCAGAGUGGCAAACUCUAGGGCGCAACGAAAGUGAAGGUUGGUUCGGCCAACUUAGGUGAGAUCCUCGCUUCUGCGAGGCGCAUCAUCGGCCGGCAAGAUUCACAUGUGAACUUGUCCGAGCAAGAGCGUACCCGUCGGGACCCGAAA